AUGCCCUAUUUUUAGCUAUUUACUUAUUGAAUAGAAUUUCUUUUAAAGUCCGUUCCUACCACACCAUAUGAGAUAUGACAUGGUAAGAAGCCGAGUCUUGGUCAUCUCAAGAUUUGGGGAUGUCCGGCCCACGUCAAGCGACAACAGGCGGACAAGUUAAAGGAUAGGACAAUUAAUGCUCGUUUUAUUGAAUAUCCUGAAAGAG
RNAcentral lists this long non-coding RNA (205 nucleotides) under Phoenix dactylifera (date palm). RNAcentral describes it as "long non-coding RNA (PDAC_LNC013945)". Lineage: Eukaryota; Viridiplantae; Streptophyta; Magnoliopsida; Arecales; Arecaceae. The record is from RNAcentral.